This 1301-nucleotide ribosomal RNA is filed under the name Triticum aestivum (bread wheat). RNAcentral's name for it is "partial small subunit ribosomal RNA". The record is from RNAcentral. Lineage: Eukaryota; Viridiplantae; Streptophyta; Magnoliopsida; Poales; Poaceae.
CCUGCGCCUCCUUAACUAGGGCUCGUGUGUCCGAGAGCCUUAGACAGAGCGGGUUAUAUUGCAGCACUAAGCAAAACACAUUCUCUACCCCGGCCACAGUCCUCGUAGUCUGUCGCAAAGUCCUCGUAGUCUGUCGCACCUUUACUCAUCCUUUUCCUCUUUUUAGAGGACCGGCCACCUGGACUUCACGCACCAAUAAGCUCCGGCACCUCUAACCCGCAGUCUCGGCACCGAGCUCUGGACGCGCUUUAAGACCAGGCACUAAGUUCGCACCUUUGCUGCAGUAACACAACGUCGUUUACGUUUGCACCCCAUCCACCUAGCUCGACGGAGUAUGGAGGUGGUAGAGGACCAGACCAGACCAUAAUAGCUCUUGCCGAGCCGCCGCCGCCGAGGUAGGGAAUCCCAACGCCACUCCGUCGAGGCUGCCGGUACCUCAAGAACUACGUCGGUCAGUUGUCAUCUUGAAAACUAUCUCCUUCACUUACUGUCGCUGUAUGGAUACCUCGGAGAAUCGGUAGGCCAAGAUAGCUACGGCCCGCCCCUCAACGGCCGUCGGUCACGUUGUCCACGUCUACGCGAGUAGACGAGCCGCUGACGACACCCUUGUCCGCUCCCACGUCUGGCCGGUGUUCGUAGACUUGUGAGUUAUCUUGUUCAACUAGGUAUCCGAGGCCCUACCUGUGUCUCCCAGGUCCACUCUUACAGUAACACGGUUUUUAUCCCUAGUCGAAGCUAUGUGAACCUCUCCGUAUGCUAAAAAUGUUAAACAUGAGGACCCUCUUUCCUGAACCUUAGUCUAUACCCUUCUCGUCUGAUUUACAGUUGUCCUGUUUCACGUUCUUCACACCACAACUUCCCGUGGCGUCCUUGUUGACGGUGUUUCGCCGACUCGACUCCGAAUUCUACACUAGCAUACUCGGAAACAUGUUACAAUUAGAUCUGUAACAAGACAUAAAAAUACCUAGUCUUACCAAAGAGGUAGAGACGUAAUUGGUCGAGAUUUCUAACGAGAGAACGGGCACAGCAAGGACAAGUCCUUCUACGUCUAAGCCUCGGAAGCCACUUAGUUCCUCGUCUUAGGGUCGAGUCGCUUGGACUGCGAAGUUAACAAAGAAGCCAAAGUCUCUUACGUCCCCUUCGUCCGAAUCCCUGUCCGAAGUCUUAGUCACUACCUCCUCCUACGACAACUUCUCUCGUGGCACAGCCAACGGUUCGCUGCAUCCUAAUACAUCCCUAGACAUCAAUCGGUGCACAUUAUCCCCUCGUCACGUCCGUUUCUGCAGAAACGGCAAAAUCCG